GCUGGAUGCUGCUGCUGUUCCAGCUUCCUAGGUGUGGAAACUGAAGGACCAAGAGAUUAAACAGUGGUGCAAAAGUGGUAAGAAUUCAGCAUUCUCCUCGACAAGUGGACGAGCAUCUACUGUGCUUUCACAGCGGCUAUCACUAUUGCCAGCAGCAAGACUGUCAGCUCGGCGCCCUCGUCUGGUUGGAUGGGAAACUGCAGUUGCUAAGGGAGCUGGGUUUGAAUCUCUGAGGACAAAUGGGAAUUCUCACUGAUUUCUAGGACUACCCUGGGGCAGAGAUGGAGUUUCAUCACAUUGCCUAGGCUGGUCUCGAAAUCCUGGACUCAAGUGAUCUGCUGGCCUCAGCCUCCCUAACUGCUGGGACUAGAGGCCUGAGCGACCACCCCUGGCUGUAAACAUUUUCUUAGCUCAAGGAUUGCUGAAUUUGUAUCCAUUUUCUUCUCUCCUAUCUCAAUUGGGUGGGUGAAAUGAUACUGUUAAUU
This 485-nucleotide long non-coding RNA is filed under the name Homo sapiens (human). Its description in RNAcentral is "long non-coding RNA NONHSAT151269.1". Lineage: Eukaryota; Metazoa; Chordata; Mammalia; Primates; Hominidae. The record is from RNAcentral.